This is a non-coding RNA of Salmo salar (Atlantic salmon), 54 nucleotides long. Lineage: Eukaryota; Metazoa; Chordata; Actinopteri; Salmoniformes; Salmonidae. The record is from Rfam.
AAGAAAAUGAAAUGUAAGUCGCUCUGGAUAAGAGCGUCUGCUAAAUGACGUAAG